RNAcentral lists this long non-coding RNA (523 nucleotides) under Apteryx owenii (little spotted kiwi). Its description in RNAcentral is "lncRNA (ENSAOWG00000015705.1)". Lineage: Eukaryota; Metazoa; Chordata; Aves; Apterygiformes; Apterygidae. The record is from RNAcentral.
UAUUUAACUGAUAAGCAAUCUGGGGCCCUCACAUUGCAUUUUGUUCCUUACAGGUGGACCCUUCUUGAGAGCUGAGCACCAGGGCUGCAUGGACAGCCCUUCUAGCAGGACAAAUGCCUUUGCCCACAGGGGAGUUGGCUCUCCAUUUUCUGCAGGAAAACAACAUGGUUGAGGAUUCACCAUGCUACAGGGCCAUACAGAUGGAUGGAAAGAUAUGGUGCUUAUCAGACAGAUGAAGAUGGGAUCCAGAGAAGAGUAGGAAAGGAAACGAGGAGGAGAAAGCUAAAGAAAGAAAAAAAAAGAAGAAGGAAGAGAGGAAGGGAGGGAGGAAGGGAAGGACAAAUAUGAGGAACAAAGAAAAAGUACAUUUUAAGUCAACUUGGGAGGAGAAAGAAGCAAGGGAACAAGCAAUUGAGAAGAAACAGGGAUGAAGAAUCAAAAUUAAUCUCCACAUGUAAUUUAGGUAAAGGAAUUUCACUCCAUUCAUUUUAUAAAAUGAAUAAAGCUGCCAUGCAAAUACUGG